UGCGUAGGCGGGGUAAUAAGUCAGUGGUGAAAUCCUGCAGCUUAACUGUAGAAUUGCCAUUGAUACUGAUCUUCUUGAAUUUAGUUGAGGUGGGCGGAAUGUGUAAUGUAGCGGUGAAAUGCUUAGAUAUUACACAGAACACCGAUUGCGAAGGCAGCUCACUAAACUAACAUUGACGCUAAGGUACGAAAGCGUGGGGAGCGAACAGGAUUAGAUACCCUGGUAGUCC
RNAcentral lists this ribosomal RNA (229 nucleotides) under uncultured bacterium. Its description in RNAcentral is "partial 16S ribosomal RNA". It matches the Rfam family "Bacterial small subunit ribosomal RNA", at positions 568 to 796 of the family's 1533-position model. The record is from RNAcentral.